Molecule: long non-coding RNA, 304 nt
Organism: Motacilla alba alba
Lineage: Eukaryota; Metazoa; Chordata; Aves; Passeriformes; Motacillidae
Exons: 3
Source: RefSeq, a predicted model, not a curated record
AGAGGAGCCGCUGCGUGGGCACAGGCAGAAGGACAGAGCCUUUUCAAACCCACAGCAGUCCUUGCAGGAGGCACUCAGCAUGCUCAGCAGCGAUGACUGGGAACAGAAGAAGAAGGGACUCUUAAACAUCACACACCUGGCUGAGUCCCAUUCCGAAGUCCUGCUUUGUCGGCUUCGUGAGAUUUGCUUGGCAGUUACCAGCGAGGUGACCAACCUGCGGUCCAAGGUGUCGUGCUCUGCAAUUGUCACUCUGGGAGAUCUCUUUGCCAUCUUGAGGAAGGACAUGGACUCCGAGGCGGAUGAG